Molecule: ribosomal RNA, 253 nt
Filed under: uncultured bacterium
Lineage: Bacteria
Description: partial 16S ribosomal RNA
Rfam family: Bacterial small subunit ribosomal RNA
Source: RNAcentral
UACGUAGGUGGCAAGCGUUGUCCGGAUUUAUUGGGUUUAAAGGGUGCGUAGGCGGCUUUGUAAGUCAGUGGCGAAAGCCGGUAGCUUAACUAUCGAAAUGCCAUUGAUACUGCAGAGCUUGAGUACAGUUGAGGUAGGCGGAAUUGACAGUGUAGCGGUGAAAUGCUUAGAUAUUGUCAAGAACUCCGAUUGCGAAGGCAGCUUACUAAAGUGUAACUGACGCUGAGGCACGAAAGUGCGGGGAUCAAACAGG